UUACUGGUACAAACCCAGCCUCAGGACAUCUGCAGGUUCUUGAGCAAGGCCCUUAACCCCCAGCUCCCUGGACACCCCACCAGUCAACUGCCCUUCACAGACAGCCUACUCUACAAAGAACAAGUUGAGGGAAGCAUAAGGACAAUUUACCCACAGGUCCGCCAUAGCUGAUAGAAGAGGGAGGGGGAGUGAGUACAAGUGAAAGGAUGGUGAACUCCAGGUGUGCAUCACCCUCUAUCUCCUGCUGGGACUGUGCUAUAAAAUGGCAGAAGAGGAACUACCAGGAUCAAGAUAAAGUACACAGAAGAGGAGACAACCACUAGACCUUAAUGACACCUGGGGGAAAACAGGAAAGACUGAAUCAGAAUGUUACACCAGUUGGGGACUAGGAUGGACAGGUGGAACCUGAGUAACUCAGACAACACAGACAGAAUGGGGAACUCCACAGUGAACCAGACGUAGGAACUUUUGUUGCACAGACUACUGAUGUGGAAAGGCAUGGGGGGAGGGGCUUAGAGCAGGGGUGUCAAACUCAUUUUAGGGAAUGGGUCACACUGGAUCUUGCCUAGCUUCACGUAGGCCACAUAAAAACUAUGUUUGCUAGAUUAUUAAAACAUUAUUAACACCAUUAGUAUUUGUUUUAUUGGUUUUAUCUGUUAAAAUGUUUUUUAAAUUUUUUGUUUUAAUAACAGAGGUUUUCUUUUCUCCCAGUAGAGCUAUGUUAAAUGAACAAUUGCAUUAAUCAUAAAUCAUGUACAAUGAAAUGAACAGUCUGGAAUGCUUUAUGAGACUUCUGAACUUUAUGUAAAUAAUCAGUGGUUUUCUCCUAUACACAACCAAACAAAUAUGGAGAAUUAAUGCUUAGUGAUGCAAGAUUAACAGUCCGCUCAAAAAAAUAAAUAAUGCGUGCUCAAAAUACGUCUGUGCCACGAAAGGCAUUAUUUAAUGAUGAAAUCAAGUCAUGCCUUGCUGCAUUUUCUCCACAGAAAGAAAAACUCCAGUUCUGCUUCAUUUUGGCACAGGACUAAUAUCAGCACCUUGCAUUUCUUGAAUAGAUGACAGUCAUUUCGUUCACAAAAUGCAUUUUUAUCAACUAAAUAAAUUCAUUUUGUGUACAAAAUGCAUUUUGUGAAUGAAAGAAUGUCAUUUUGUGGACAAAAUGCAUUUGGCUGGAGAGCAGGGGAGAACGUAGUUGUAGAAACAUCAGGGGAGACAUUGGCGGAGCUGUUGAUAGGGCUACAGCCAAAGGAACAGCUGUAGAGACAAACCACUGGAGGAAAU
Molecule: long non-coding RNA, 1281 nt
Organism: Brienomyrus brachyistius
Lineage: Eukaryota; Metazoa; Chordata; Actinopteri; Osteoglossiformes; Mormyridae
Exons: 3
Source: RefSeq, a predicted model, not a curated record